Long non-coding RNA from Oncorhynchus keta (chum salmon), 187 nucleotides. RefSeq lists it as uncharacterized. Lineage: Eukaryota; Metazoa; Chordata; Actinopteri; Salmoniformes; Salmonidae. The record is from RefSeq and is a predicted model, not a curated record. The transcript is spliced from 5 exons.
CACAGGUAGCCUAGCGGUUCAGAGCAGGUAGCCUAGCGGUUCAGAGCAGGUAGCCUAGCGGUUCAGAGCAGGUAGCCUAGCGGUUCAGAGCAGGUAGCCUAGCGGUUCAGAGCAGGUAGCCUAGCGGUUCAGAGCAGGUAGCCUAGCGGUUCAGAGCAGGUAGCCUAGCGGUUAAGAGCAGGUAGCC